CCUACGGGAGGCAGCAGUAGGGAAUUUUCCACAAUGGGCGAAAGCCUGAUGGAGCAACGCCGCGUGCAGGAUGAAUGCCUUCGGGUUGUAAACUGCUUUUAUAUGUGACGAAUAUGACGGUAGCAUAUGAAUAAGGAUCGGCUAACUCCGUGCCAGCAGCCGCGGUCAUACGGAGGAUCCAAGCGUUAUCCGGAAUUACUGGGCGUAAAGAGUUGCGUAGGUGGCAUAGUAAGUAGAUAGUGAAAGCGUGUGGCUCAACCAUACUCACAUUAUCUAAACUGCUAAGCUAGAGGAUGAGAGAGGUUAUUGGAAUUCCCUGUGUAGGAGUGAAAUCCGUAGAUAUAGGGAGGAACACCGAUGGCGUAGGCAGAUAACUGGCUCAUUCCUGACACUAAGGCACGAAAGCGUGGGUAGCAAACGGGAUUAGAUACCCGAGUAGU
RNAcentral lists this ribosomal RNA (440 nucleotides) under uncultured bacterium. RNAcentral's name for it is "bacterial SSU rRNA". It matches the Rfam family "Bacterial small subunit ribosomal RNA", at positions 338 to 794 of the family's 1533-position model. The record is from RNAcentral.